Molecule: unclassified non-coding RNA, 2053 nt
Filed under: Zea mays
Lineage: Eukaryota; Viridiplantae; Streptophyta; Magnoliopsida; Poales; Poaceae
Description: misc RNA Zm00001eb399950
Source: RNAcentral
CACCGCACCGCAAGAGCAGGAUAGCCGCAGCAGCAGGCGAGCGCGAGCCGGCACGCUGGUUUGGUUGCAGCGCCAAGACGCUGCCGAGAGCAGGAUAGCAGCAGCAGCAGGCGAGCGCGGGCCGGCAGUCCGGCACCAUGCCGACCGGCGGCGUGUUCUCCGGGUCGGUGAACCUGAAGCACGUCAAGCUGGGGUACCGGUACCUGCUGGACCACCUCCUGACGCUGCUGCUGGUGCCGGUCAUGGCCGCCACGGCGCUGGAGCUGGCGCGCCUGGGCCCUGGCGAGCUGCUGUCGCUGUGGCGGUCGCUGGAGCUGGACCUGGUCCACAUCCUCUGCUCCGCGUUCGUGGCCGUCUUCGCCGGCACCGUGUACGCGAUGUCGCGCCCCAGGCCCGUGUACCUGGUGGACUACGCCUGCUACAAGCCCCCCGGCAGCUGCCGCGUGCCCUUCGCCACCUUCAUGGAGCACACGCGCCUCAUCAGCGACGACGACAGGAGCGUGCGGUUCCAGACCCGGAUCCUGGAGCGGUCGGGGCUGGGCGAGGACACGUGCCUCCCGCCCGCCAACCACUUCAUCCCGCCCAACCCCAGCAUGGAGGCCUCCCGCGCCGAGGCGCAGCUCGUCGUCUUCUCCGCCAUCGACGACCUCCUCCGCCGCACGGGGACCAAGCCCAAGGACGUCGACAUCCUCGUCGUCAACUGCAGCCUCUUCUCCCCGACGCCCUCGCUGUCCGCCAUGGUCGUCAACAGGUACAAGCUCCGGAGCAACGUCCGGAGCUUCAACCUGUCCGGGAUGGGGUGCAGCGCCGGGCUCAUCUCCAUCGACCUCGCCAGGGACAUGCUGCAGGUGCACCCAAACUCGAACGCGCUGGUGGUGUCCACCGAGAUCAUCACCCCAAACUUCUACCGGGGGAGCCGGCGCGACAUGCUGCUCCCCAACUGCCUGUUCCGGAUGGGCGCGGCGGCGAUCCUGCUGUCCAACCGGCGGCGCGAGGCCCCGCGCGCCAAGUACCGGCUGGUGCACGUGGUGAGGACGCACAAGGGCGCGGACGACCGCGCGUACAGGUGCGUGUACCAGGAGGAGGACCAGCAGGGGUUCUCGGGCAUCUCGCUGUCCAAGGAGCUCAUGGCCAUCGCGGGCGACGCGCUCAAGUCCAACAUCACCACCAUCGGCCCGCUGGUGCUGCCCAUGUCGGAGCAGCUGCUCUUCUUCUUCCGCCUGGUGGGGCGCAAGCUCCUCAACGGGGGAUGGAAGCCCUACAUCCCGGACUUCAAGCUGGCGUUCGACCACUUCUGCAUCCACGCGGGCGGCCGCGCCGUCAUCGACGAGCUGCAGAAGAACCUGCAGCUGUCGCCGCGCCACGUGGAGGCGUCCCGCAUGACGCUGCACCGCUUCGGCAACACGUCCAGCAGCUCCCUCUGGUACGAGCUCGCAUACAUCGAGGCCAAGGGACGCAUGCGCCGCGGCGACCGCGUCUGGCAGAUCGGCUUCGGCAGCGGCUUCAAGUGCAACAGCGCCGUCUGGAAGUGCCUCCGCAGCGUCAACACGCCCACCAGCGGGCCCUGGGACGACUGCAUCCACCGCUACCCCGUCGACGUGCCGGAGGUCGUCAGCCUCUGAACUCUCCGGCUACAACAUAUACGUUCUCCGGCGAAGCAUUUCGCUUAAAGAAGAUUACAACUUUUUUCUUUCUUGUUCCUUCUUCUCAGCUGGUCUCUUCUCUUCCCUAUUUUCUUCUCUUCCCUAUAUAUACUCCGAUUGUUGUUGGAAGUAUCACACGAGGAAUGACCAUCACAGGCGGACGGGAGAUCAAACGAACUGCUUCCUGCUGGAUGCUCACGUGGGCGUACUGUCAAAAUUGACAUCUCCCAGGAAUAUUGUAAUCCAUGUCGUUGUAAACCGGUGAAAGGGGAUAUACAUACAUUUUUUCCUGUCACUUGCUUGUAGAAUGGAUUGUUAUUUGAGAAUGGCUGGGAUCAAGUGAUGCGCGGUGGGAGUGUCACUGAGAUUAGCUGCUAGCUGUUGACGGGAGGAGACAGCGUCGUUGCUUA